GAGGAAUAUUGGGCAAUGCCCGAAAGGGUGACCCAGCAACGCCGCGUGGAGGAUGAAGGCCGUAAGGUUGUAAACUCCUGUUAGAGGGGAAGAAAAACUCCGAUAGAAUCGGAGACUGACUGUACCCUCAGAGGAAGCCCCGGCUAACUACGUGCCAGCAGCCGCGGUAAUACGUAGGGGGCAAGCGUUGUCCGGAUUCACUGGGUGUAAAGGGCGCGUAGGCGGGCUAGCAAGUCAGAGGUGAAAUCUCCCGGCUUAACCGGGAAACUGCCUUUGAAACUGUUAGUCUUGAGUGCGGAAGAGAGAGACGGAAUUCCAGGUGUAGCGGUGAAAUGCGUAGAUAUCUGGAGGAACACCAGUCGCGAAGGCGGUCUCUUGGUCCGUAACUGACGCUCAGGCGCGAAAGCGUGGGUAGCAAAC
This 420-nucleotide ribosomal RNA is filed under the name uncultured bacterium. Its description in RNAcentral is "bacterial SSU rRNA". It matches the Rfam family "Bacterial small subunit ribosomal RNA", at positions 356 to 773 of the family's 1533-position model. The record is from RNAcentral.